Molecule: long non-coding RNA, 171 nt
Organism: Populus euphratica (Euphrates poplar)
Lineage: Eukaryota; Viridiplantae; Streptophyta; Magnoliopsida; Malpighiales; Salicaceae
Exons: 2
Source: RefSeq, a predicted model, not a curated record
ACAUGAUUCAGCGGCACGCCAUCCGCUACAUUGUAGGCUUUGAUGUUAUCAGGUAGGUUGGUUCUUGAUGCUAAGAAGAUCGAGUUGUUGGAUUUUUCGGUGUUAAGAAAGGAAAAUCUCGUUUCCUGGGCAACCCUCGCUAACUUCAGCACCAGAUCAAUGAGAGAGAGA